AUCCUUUUGUAGUUCAUAAGCAUAACGAUUGGGUUUUCAUGCGCAUGUGUGAGAUGUGCCUCCCACAAGUCUUGUUAGGACGUCAGCGCAGAUGGCGCAUUACUCGUCUGACA
Non-coding RNA from Otolemur garnettii (small-eared galago), 113 nucleotides. The record is from Rfam. NCBI's taxonomy places the organism in Eukaryota, Metazoa, Chordata, Mammalia, Primates, Galagidae.